The sequence is a ribosomal RNA, 1542 nucleotides long. It matches the Rfam family "Bacterial large subunit ribosomal RNA", at positions 1 to 1577 of the family's 2925-position model.
AGUUAAGCUACAAAGGGCAUACGGCGGAUGCCUGGGCGCUUCGAGCCGAUGAAGGACGCGAUAAGCUGCGAAAAGUCAUGGGGAGCCGCAAGUAGGCAUUGAUCCAUGAAUCUCCGAAUGGGGCAACCCGGUACGAGUCAAGUCGUAUCAUCUACGGAAGGCACACCUGAUGAACUGAAACAUCUAAGUAGUCAGAGGAAAAGUAAUCAAACGAGAUUCCCCCAGUAGCGGCGAGCGAAGAGGGAAGAGCCCAAACCGGACGUCUUCGGACGACCGGGGUUGAGGACCGGCACAAAGGGAAGAAUUUCUAGCCGAACAGUCUGGGAAGGCUGAGCACAGACGGUGAAACUCCGGUAGGCGAAAGGGAUUCCAACGGGCCGGUAUCCAGAGUACCACGAGACACGAGGAACCUUGUGGGAAGCAGGGUGGACCACCAUCCAAGGCAAAAUACUACGAAGCGACCGAUAGCGCAUAGUACCGUGAGGGAAAGGUGAAAAGGACCCCGGGAGGGGAGUGAAAGAGAACCUGAAACCGUAUGUCUACAAGCAGUUGGAGCACUUUAUAUGUGCGACAGCGUGCCUAUUGAAGAAUGAACCGGCGAGUUAAUUUUUGUUGCGAGGUUAAGCGGGAGACGCGGAGCCGAAGCGAAAGCGAGUCUUAAUAGGGCGAAAGUAACAAGGAUUAGACCCGAAACCACAGUGAUCUAUGCAUGGCCAGGUUGAAGCUCAGGUAAAAAUGAGUGGAGGACCGAACCCGUGAGUGUUGAAAAACUUUGGGAUGAGCUGUGCAUAGGGGUGAAAUGCCAAUCGAACGUGGAGAUAGCUGGUUCUCCCCGAAAUAGCUUUAGGGCUAGCCUCAGGCGACACAUAAAGACGGUAGAGCACUGAUCGGACGCGGGUCUGUAAUGGAUACCAACUCCAGUCAAACUGCGAAUGGCUUUAUGAGAAGAACCUGGGAGUCAGAAUGCGAGUGAUAAGACCCGUAUUCAAGAGGGAAACAGCCCAGAACGCCGACUAAGGUCCCGAAUGCUGUACUAAGUGGAAAAGGAUGUAGAACUUCCGAAACAACCAGGAUGUUGGCUCAGAAGCAGCCACCAUUUAAAGAGUGCGUAAUAGCUCACUGGUCGAGAGGCUCUGCGCCGAAAAUAUCCGGGGCUCAAGUACAGAACCGAAGUCGCGUCAUGCGCAAGCAUGGGUAGGGGAGCGUUCUUAUUGCGUUGAAGGUUGACCGGAAGGACAGCUGGAGCGGUAAGAAGUGAGAAUGCCGGUAUGAGUAGCGAAACGGUCAGUGAGAAUCUGACCCACCGAAAGCCUAAGGGAUCCUGAGCAACGCUCGUCGACUCAGGGUAAGUCGGGACCUAAGCCGAGGCAGAAAGCAUAGGCGAUGGACAACAGGCAAACAUUCCUGUACUGCAUGAUGUUGUCUGAGGAUGGAGUGACACAGCAAGGAGCUUGAGCGCGCGACUGGAAAUGCGCGUCGAAGGCGGUAGGCUGUCAUGGAGGCAAAUCCCCAUGAUAAGGCCGAGAACUGACAGAUAGACAA